Molecule: long non-coding RNA, 635 nt
Organism: Pogoniulus pusillus (Red-fronted tinkerbird)
Lineage: Eukaryota; Metazoa; Chordata; Aves; Piciformes; Lybiidae
Exons: 4
Source: RefSeq, a predicted model, not a curated record
CAGAUGUCCUGUGCCCUUCUCUGGGGCUGAUCCUGCCUUGAAGGAGGGUGCCGGUGGUGGGGCUCUGCUUGCCCAUCUUUCCUGUGUGCUCCUGGCCAUUGCUGCUGCCUCAGGGCUCUCCUGUUGCGUUUGCUGCCAAGCCACGUCUGCAGCUCUGUCCAAGGCGAUCCCACGCAGCGGGUGGGCUGCAUGCCGUGUGCCAUGGCUGCCUCACCAGCCUGGGGCUGGCAUACCCACGUGCGGCGUCGCGUCGGGGUCUGCAGAAGGAGGUGGUGCGAGGCGGGAGAGGCGAGGACGCGGGUUCCACGCGGCACGUCGCAGCCACAACCUGCAAACCGCGGGUCGAGAGUUUCACCCAUCAGUGGAAGUGACAGAUGGUCCCCACCACGUCUGUGCAUGGUGCCAAGGAGGACAGAAAUCGGCAGUGUUUCAGUUGGAGCCACUAAUGGAAGUUGAUUGCUCUGGGUGCAUGUGGAUAAUUCUUUUCAGUGACCACUGCAUGAGAUUUCACCUCAGGAGUGGAGGGAAGUUCCAGAAGCAUGACAGCUGGGCUUCAAAAGGCUUGGAAAGAAAACCUAAUUCAGAUGGAAAUAAAGCAAACAAACAUAAUCAACAUCAAAGGUCAUACGACAGUA